RNAcentral lists this ribosomal RNA (257 nucleotides) under uncultured bacterium. RNAcentral's name for it is "partial 16S ribosomal RNA". It matches the Rfam family "Bacterial small subunit ribosomal RNA", at positions 57 to 305 of the family's 1533-position model. The record is from RNAcentral.
GCAAGUCGAGCGAGAAGACGUAGCAAUACGUUUGUAAAGCGGCGAACGGGUGAGGAAUACAUGGGUAACCUACCCUUGAGUGGGGAAUAACUAGCCGAAAGGUUAGCUAAUACCGCGUACGAUUCUUAGACUUCGGUUCAGGGAGGAAAGCGCUACCGUGGGUAGCGCGCUCUUGGAUGGGCUCAUGUCCUAUCAGCUUGUUGGUGAGGUAACGGCUCACCAAGGCUUCGACGGGUAGCUGGUCUGAGAGGACGAUC